CGCGUCUUCUCCCGUGCUUUACGGCUAGCUCGUAUCGCAUUGCCAACUUUACUCCUAAUGUGGUUCCCAUCACGGUCAAACUGUGAGAAAGCUGCAGAGAUUUCAUGAUCAGCAUGUCCCAUCCUGUGACAUCAUCAGAGUGCAAUUUCUGUUACCUGUUUGAUGAUGUCGGUGAUCUGGAGCUCAUCUUUCUGGGACGACAGUUCCUCUUUCACCUCGGAAUAUGUGUCAUUUAUGAUGGCAAGAAACAUGUUCUGAAGAGAUAUAAAACGGGUACAGAAGCUGUGAACAAAAGGAGGAUUUACAUAUCAGGGUGCAGUGCAAGUGGACAUUACUGCUGAGGUCCUGAUCAUAAAACUGCCUCGAAUCGGCCGACAUCUCGAUUACCAAUACUGUGAAAUAAGGUAUGUUACUAGCACAUCCAUAGAAAAAAUGCCGCAUUCUGUCAGUGUCAGUUACUUACCAA
Long non-coding RNA from Syngnathus acus (greater pipefish), 466 nucleotides. RefSeq lists it as uncharacterized. The transcript has 5 exons. NCBI's taxonomy places the organism in Eukaryota, Metazoa, Chordata, Actinopteri, Syngnathiformes, Syngnathidae. The record is from RefSeq and is a predicted model, not a curated record.